Molecule: ribosomal RNA, 322 nt
Filed under: uncultured eukaryote
Lineage: Eukaryota
Description: partial 18S ribosomal RNA
Rfam family: Eukaryotic small subunit ribosomal RNA
Source: RNAcentral
CCCUUAGAUGUUCUGGGCCGCACGCGCGCUACACUGAUGCAUUCAACGAGCCUAUCCUUGACCGACAGGUCCGGGUAAUCUUUGAAUCUGCAUCGUGACGGGGAUAGAUUAUUGCAAUUAUUAAUCUUCAACGAGGAAUGCCUAGUAGGCGCAAGUCAUCAGCUUGCGUCGAUUACGUCCCUGCCCUUUGUACACACCGCCCGUCGCUGCUACCGAUUGAGUGGUCCUGUGAAUUAUUCGGACCGGUGGACUGUGGGGAAACCCGCGGCCUGCUGGGAAGUCUUGUGAACCUUAUCACUUAGAGGAAGCAGAAGUCGUAACA